UAUAUAUAUAUAUAUAUAUAGAAUUAGGCUGGAAUACUAUUAAUAGGAAAACGCUUUUUUUGUUAUCAAUUUUUAACCCUUGGAUGAAAAAUUGUAGGGUCAGGAUGAUAUUAGUCGGUUAGAGUUGAAUGGUCUCCCUAGUUUUGAGUGGUCCCCACUGGGUUAUAGUAUUUAAUCCAAUGGUUAGAAAUAAUGAAAAGAGUUGAUCCAAAGGCCAAAAAACUGAUAGCAACAAUAGGAUUUUGCUACUAAUAGUAGCCCAGUUCAACUAUAUAUAUAUAUAUAUAUAUAUAUAUAUAUAUAGCUCCUAUAUUGUACACGAGAUAAUAUAGGCGCCAUAACGGACACAAGAGAAAAAUUUUAAUGGACACCGCGAUUCAUUCAUCAUGUUUAGAAUAAAUAAAUAAAAUAAUUUAUUUAUCAUAUUUAACAAAAUAUAUUUUAAAUAACAAAAUAUUAAACCCCCUUCCAUAUCUUGACAAAAUAUAUUUUUCUCAACAAGAUAAUUAAAUCACCAUACUUACAAUAAUUUGUCAGCACGAUAGAUAAAUUACCAUAGUCACUUGAAAUUUUUCAAUGUGACGCCUUUGUUUAUGGAGCCGUUUGGCCUAAAUUCAGAAAAAAUAAUUUCUAUAGUAUUGAUUUUGAUCCGGAGAAAUAAUUUCUAUUAAAAGUUAUAAAGUUUUUUGGUUAAGUACAAUAGAAAAGUGAUUUUUUAAAAAUAAUUUUAGAAAGCUAGCUAUUUGGUAAAUUUUUGCGCUGAAAUAAUUUUGUAAUGCUGUUUAAUUUUAGUAAUAAUUAAUACUAAUAUUACAUGCUAUUUAUAUAUAAAAAAAAAACAAUAUGCUAAUAUUUGUAAAAAAAAGGUACAUGCUAACUUUACUCUCUAAAAAAAAAGUACAUGUUAAUUAUAUUUGUUAAUAGAUCUCAACUUAUCAAUAACUAGUAUUUGACCCGUGCGAUGCAUGGCUAAUAUAAUAAUAUAAAAUAACAAAAGUUAUUAUGUGAUGAUAAAAGAAAAACAUUAUAAUUAAUAUUAUAUUUUUUUUAACAAAUAAAGAAAUAUACUAUCAUUAAUCUUAAUUAUAGUACAUAUUAAAGUACAAAUGCUAGAAAAACAAAAUUAUGGAUCAAAGUAACACUUAGGUUGUAGUGUUCCUAAGGUUUGGAUAGAUUUGGCUAGAGUAUUAGUGACUGGUUUACAUAUCUGGAGAGUGUCGGACUGAGUCGGAGUCGUUUCUACAUGAAAUGGGUGAAGAAAUGGACUCAGCGCACUUAAAUAAGCAAAACUAAAGUUUUGCUAGUUUAGGGCGCCCAGAAAUGGAUUUAGGGCGCCCAGAUCUUGAGUGUUGUUUUGUGUUAGAUGCUGCAGCCAUUUCGGACCCUGUUUAGGGCGUCCGAAAGUUGGAUCCGAAAAUUUACAUCGUGAAUAUCGAUUGUGUUGACACGUGGGGUAUGGUAGGUGAGAUCAGCAGGAACCAGAUAGCGGUGUAGCAGACCGUCGGACGGAGAAACAGAGAUACUGUUUGUGCAGGCUAGAAGUUCUGGGCGUCCAGAACUGGAUUUAGGGCGCCCAGAUCUCGAUUUUUCUGCAAUAGUGCAGUUUAGCAGUAUUUAUUCCUGAGCCUUUUUGGACCCUUCUAGCACACUAUAAAUAGGGGGAAUUCAACCCCUUU
This 1676-nucleotide long non-coding RNA is filed under the name Ananas comosus (pineapple). Its description in RNAcentral is "long non-coding RNA (ACOM_LNC025629)". The record is from RNAcentral. Lineage: Eukaryota; Viridiplantae; Streptophyta; Magnoliopsida; Poales; Bromeliaceae.